AGAGUUGAUCAUGGCUCAGGAUGAACGCUAGCUACAGGCUUAACACAUGCAAGUCAGGGGCAGCAUGGAGUUUGCUUGCAAACUCUGAUGGCGACCGGCGCACGGGUGAGUAACGCGUAUCCAACCUUCCCUAUAGUAGAGGAUAGCCCGGCGAAAGUCGGAUUAAUACUCUAUGUUUUCCGUUGCAGACAUCUAAGAUGGAACAAAGGCUUGCCGCUAUAGGAUGGGGAUGCGUCUGAUUAGAUAGUAGGCGGGGUAACGGCCCACCUAGUCGACGAUCAGUAGGGGUUCUGAGGGGAAGGUCCCCCACAUUGGAACUGAGACACGGUCCAAACUCCUACGGGAGGCAGCAGUGAGGAAUAUUGGUCAAUGGGCGAGAGCCUGAACCAGCCAAGUAGCCGUGCAGGAUGACGGCCCUAUGGGUUGUAAACUGCUUUUAUAUGGGGAUAAAGUCACCCACGUGUGGGUGUUUGUAGGUACCAUAUGAAUAAGGACCGGCUAAUUCCGUGCCAGCCGCCGC
RNAcentral lists this ribosomal RNA (520 nucleotides) under uncultured bacterium. RNAcentral describes it as "bacterial SSU rRNA". It matches the Rfam family "Bacterial small subunit ribosomal RNA", at positions 8 to 518 of the family's 1533-position model. The record is from RNAcentral.